GAUGAAGAACGUAGCAAAAUGCGAUAAGUAAUGUGAAUUGCAGAAUUCAGUGAAUCAUCGAAUCUUUGAACGCACAUUGCGCCCGCUAGUAUUCUGGCGGGCAUGCCUGUCUGAGCGUCAUUUCAACCCUCGCCCCCGGCUUUUGCUGGGAGCGGUGUUGGGGAUCGGCCGCCCGUCACUGGGAGGCCGGCCCCGAAAUAGAGUGGCGACCACGCCGUGUGCUCCUCUGCGUAGUAGUAAAUCACCUCGCAGGCGGACAGCGGUGCGGCCUGCCGUAAAACCCCCAACUCUUUCUGGUUGACCUCAGAUCAGGUAGGAAUACCCGCUGAACUUAAGCAUAUCAAUAAGCGGAGGA
RNAcentral lists this unclassified non-coding RNA (355 nucleotides) under soil metagenome. RNAcentral's name for it is "partial contains 5.8S ribosomal RNA, internal transcribed spacer 2, and large subunit ribosomal RNA". The stretch from base 1 to 120 matches the Rfam family "5.8S ribosomal RNA", at positions 35 to 154 of the family's 154-position model. The record is from RNAcentral.